Molecule: ribosomal RNA, 1032 nt
Filed under: Triticum aestivum (bread wheat)
Lineage: Eukaryota; Viridiplantae; Streptophyta; Magnoliopsida; Poales; Poaceae
Description: partial small subunit ribosomal RNA
Source: RNAcentral
AUGUCCAAGCUCGUCGGCCUUCAAUUUCGCUUCUUGUACAAGCGCGGCCUCGACAACGGAGCGGCAGAUGCGCUCUCCAGAGUGGGCAAGCUGAUGGACCUGGCCGCGCUCUCGACCUGUCAGCCGGCAUGGUUGCAGGAGGUGGCUAACUCCUACACGACAGACGCGGAUGCCCAGGAACAUCUUCAGCACUUAGUCGUGUCCAGCCCGGAUGCAGAGAGGUAUGAGCUUCAUCGAGGCAUCAUUCGUCGCCAAGGCCGGCUCUGGAUCGGGGCUAACACGGCCCUGCGCACUAAGCUGAUCGCCGCGCUCCACAACAGCGCGGUGGGUGGCCACUCUGGCGUCACGGCGACCUACCACCGGGUCAAGAAGCAUUUCGAGUGGCGGGGCCUGAAGAAGGACGUGGAGGAAUUCGUGCACCAAUGCACCAUCUGUCAACAGGCCAAGCACGAGCACACCAAGCCAGCUGGCCUCCUCGCGCCCUUGCCCAUUCCGUCUGCGCCAUGGGAGGACCUAACAAUGGACUUCAUCGAGGGCUUGCCGGCGUCCGAGAGCUGCAACUCCAUCAUGGUCGUUGUCGAUCGCUUCACCAAGUUUACACACUUUGUGCCACUUCGCCACCCCUUCACUGCAGCAACAGUCGCCCGCGCGUUCUGGGACAACAUUGUGAAGCUGCACGGGAUUCCUUCUUCAAUUGUCUCCGACCGCGACAAGAUCUUCACCAGCAACCUCUGGCGCAAACUCCUCGAGAGCGCGGGCACCAAACUGCUGUACUCGACGGCAUACCACCCGCAGACCGAUGGCCAGAGCGAGAGGGUGAACCAGUGUCUGCAGAUGUACCUGCGCUGCACCGUCCACGACUCCCCCAACAAGUGGCGCCGCUGGCUACCGAUGGCUGAGUUCUGGUACAACUCGACCUUCCAUUCCUCCCUCAACUGCACACCCUUCAAGGCCCUGUAUGGCCGAGAAGCCAAUUUGGGCACCAUGGCAACCUGGGCAGAGGAGGCACCAACCGGCGACGACCUGGACUAG